RNAcentral lists this ribosomal RNA (1682 nucleotides) under Bacillus cereus. Its description in RNAcentral is "partial 16S ribosomal RNA". It matches the Rfam family "Bacterial small subunit ribosomal RNA". Lineage: Bacteria; Bacillati; Bacillota; Bacilli; Caryophanales; Bacillaceae. The record is from RNAcentral.
UAUAGAAUACUCAAGCUAUGCAUCCAACGCGUUGGGAGCUCUCCCAUAUGGUCGACCUGCAGGCGGCCGCGAAUUCACUAGUGAUUGGGAUCGCCCUUAGAGUUUGAUCCUGGCUCAGGAUGAACGCUGGCGGCGUGCCUAAUACAUGCAAGUCGAGCGAAUGGAUUAAGAGCUUGCUCUUAUGAAGUUAGCGGCGGACGGGUGAGUAACACGUGGGUAACCUGCCCAUAAGACUGGGAUAACUCCGGGAAACCGGGGCUAAUACCGGAUAACAUUUUGAACCGCAUGGUUCGAAAUUGAAAGGCGGCUUCGGCUGUCACUUAUGGAUGGACCCGCGUCGCAUUAGCUAGUUGGUGAGGUAACGGCUCACCAAGGCAACGAUGCGUAGCCGACCUGAGAGGGUGAUCGGCCACACUGGGACUGAGACACGGCCCAGACUCCUACGGGAGGCAGCAGUAGGGAAUCUUCCGCAAUGGACGAAAGUCUGACGGAGCAACGCCGCGUGAGUGAUGAAGGCUUUCGGGUCGUAAAACUCUGUUGUUAGGGAAGAACAAGUGCUAGUUGAAUAAGCUGGCACCUUGACGGUACCUAACCAGAAAGCCACGGCUAACUACGUGCCAGCAGCCGCGGUAAUACGUAGGUGGCAAGCGUUAUCCGGAAUUAUUGGGCGUAAAGCGCGCGCAGGUGGUUUCUUAAGUCUGAUGUGAAAGCCCACGGCUCAACCGUGGAGGGUCGUUGGAAACUGGGAGACUUGAGUGCAGAGGAGGAAAGUGGAAUUCCAUGUGUAGCGGUGAAAUGCGUAGAGAUAUGGAGGAACACCAGUGGCGAAGGCGACUUUCUGGUCUGUAACUGACACUGAGGCGCGAAAGCGUGGGGAGCAAACAGAAUUAGAUACCCUGGUAGUCCACGCCGUAAACGAUGAGUGCUAAGUGUUAGAGGGUUUCCGCCCUUUAGUGCUGAAGUUAACGCAUUAAGCACUCCGCCUGGGGAGUACGGCCGCAAGGCUGAAACUCAAAGGAAUUGACGGGGGCCCGCACAAGCAGUGGAGCAUGUGGUUUAAUUCGAAGCAACGCGAAGAACCUUACCAGGUCUUGACAUCCUCUGAAAACCCUAGAGAUAGGGCUUCUCCUUCGGGAGCAGAGUGACAGGUGGUGCAUGGUUGUCGUCAGCUCGUGUCGUGAGAUGUUGGGUUAAGUCCCGCAACGAGCGCAACCCUUGAUCUUAGUUGCCAUCAUUAAGUUGGGCACUCUAAGGUGACUGCCGGUGACAAACCGGAGGAAGGUGGGGAUGACGUCAAAUCAUCAUGCCCCUUAUGACCUGGGCUACACACGUGCUACAAUGGACGGUACAAAGAGCUGCAAGACCGCGAGGUGGAGCUAAUCUCAUAAAACCGUUCUCAGUUCGGAUUGUAGGCUGCAACUCGCCUACAUGAAGCUGGAAUCGCUAGUAAUCGCGGAUCAGCAUGCCGCGGUGAAUACGUUCCCGGGCCUUGUACACACCGCCCGUCACACCACGAGAGUUUGUAACACCCGAAGUCGGUGGGGUAACCUUUUUGGAGCCAGCCGCCUAAGGUGGGACAGAUGAUUGGGGUGAAGUCGUAACAAGGUAGCCGUAAAGGGCGAUCCAAUCGAAUUCCCGCGGCCGCCAUGGCGGCCGGGAGCAUGCGACGUCGGGCCCAAUUC